GGUAGGACGUGUCGGCUG
RNAcentral lists this small nuclear RNA (18 nucleotides) under Arabidopsis thaliana (thale cress). Its description in RNAcentral is "snRNA_05021". The record is from RNAcentral. Lineage: Eukaryota; Viridiplantae; Streptophyta; Magnoliopsida; Brassicales; Brassicaceae.